Molecule: long non-coding RNA, 1192 nt
Filed under: Monodelphis domestica (gray short-tailed opossum)
Lineage: Eukaryota; Metazoa; Chordata; Mammalia; Didelphimorphia; Didelphidae
Description: lncRNA (ENSMODG00000046911.1)
Source: RNAcentral
GUUGGGGCACCAGGCUGGUAAUUCUGGAUGUCUAUAGCAUGAUCUGGAGGCUUGACAACUGGAGAGAAGAUGAUGGAAGAACAGAGAAUGAAGGUUUUGACUCACAGCUGGCCUCCCUGUAUCCUUUCUGGUCCCAACCAGCUCAGAGAAGACAUGAGCCAUCCAUUGCUGUACUUAAAGCUGGAAGGAGUUCUCAGAGAUUAUUCGAUCCAAAUUCUUAUUUAACAAAUGAGAAAACAGAGGCUCUCAGUGUUGGUAUGACUUAUCCAAGGAUAUUUAAGCCUCUCUAAGUCUGAAUCUGAAAGUAGGUCUUCUGACUCCAGAUGAGUGAUAUAUCUGUUCCUCCAUCCAUGCUACCCUUGUCUGUGCUAGAAACUAGUUAGUGAACAAGUUGAAGGUAGGGAUUGAGUCUUUUCUUUUUUUUUUUAACCCUUAUCUUAGAAUCAGUACUAAGUAUGGGUUCCAAGACAGAAGACUUGUAAGGGCUAGGCAAUUGGAUGUUAAGUGACUUGUCCAGGGUCACCCAGCUAGGAAGUGUCAGAGUUGAACCCAAGACCUCCCACCUCCACAUCUGGCACUCUAUCCACUGUGCUACCCAGUUCCCCUGGGUCUUUUCUUCUAUCUCAUGGAAAACAUGUUCAUUGAAGAUUUGUUGCAUUGAACAAGAACUGAAUGUUACACAAGGCUCCUCACAUUCUGCCUGCCUAUACUUAUCUCCACGCUCUGGGCACAUACAGUCCUUAUAAUCUACUCAGGCUAGCAUUGACUAUCCAGGGACUGAGCCAGGGGCCAAGGACGCAAACACAAAAACAAGACAAGCCUUACCGUCACGGAUCUUACCAGUGCUAACAAGGGGAAACAACCCCCUAAGGGACUGAUUUAGUUCUGUGAUGCUUUGCGUUCUUUGGUUGCUUCACGUGUGUUAAUCAUGUUUCUUGAAAGCAGCCGCCACCUCUAGCUUGUCUGUUUGCUCUCUGUGCCCCCAUUGCCCCUGGUCUAGUUCCUGGUACAUUACCCUCUUCCCACUGAACAUAAGUGCUUGCUCGCUCGCUCGCUGGGUGAGUGUUUACUAGAUUGAACCAUCCUCUCAGCUCAACUCUUCAGUCCUUAAAGGGCUGUUGUGUGGAAGGGGAAUUGACCUGUUCUAAGUGGCCCCAUGUGACAGAGUCAGGAAAAAUGGGCAAACACUGCA